CGAAAGACGGGUGAGAAUCCCGUCCACCGAUUGACUAAGGUUUCCAGAGGAAGGCUCGUCCGCUCUGGGUUAGUCGGGUCCUAAGCUGAGGCCGACAGGCGUAGGCGAUGGAUAACAGGUUGAUAUUCCUGUACCACCUAUAAUCGUUUUAAUCGAUGGGGGGACGCAGUAGGAUAGGCGAAGCGUGCGAUUGGAUUGCACGUCUAAGCAGUAAGGCUGAGUAUUAGGCAAAUCCGGUACUCGUUAAGGCUGAGCUGUGAUGGGGAGAAGACAUUGAGUCUUCGAGUCGUUGAUUUCACACUGCCGAGAAAAGCCUCUAGAUAGAAAAUAGGUGCCCGUACCGCAAACCGACACAGGUAGUCAAGAUGAGUAUUCUAAGGUGAGCGAGCGAACUCUCGUUAAGGAACUCGGCAAAAUGACCCCGUAACUUCGGGAGAAGGGGUGCUCUUUAGGGUUAACGCCCAGAAGAGCCGCAGUGAAUAGGCCCAAGCGACUGUUUAUCAAAAACACAGGUCUCUGCUAAACCGUAAGGUGAUGUAUAGGGGCUGACGCCUGCCCGGUGCUGGAAGGUUAAGAGGAGUGGUUAGCUUCUGCGAAGCUACGAAUCGAAGCCCCAGUAAACGGCGGCCGUAACUAUAACGGUCCUAAGGUAGCGAAAUUCCUUGUCGGGUAAGUUCCGACCCGCACGAAAGGCGUAACGAUUUGGGCACUGUCUCAACGAGAGACUCGGUGAAAUCAUAGUACCUGUGAAGAUGCAGGUUACCCGCGACAGGACGGAAAGACCCCGUGGAGCUUUACUGUAGCCUGAUAUUGAAAUUCGGCACAGCUUGUACAGGAUAGGUAGGAGCCUUUGAAACGUGAGCGCUAGCUUACGUGGAGGCGCUGGUGGGAUACUACCCUAGCUGUGUUGGCUUUCUAACCCGCACCACUUAUCGUGGUGGGAGACAGUGUCAAGCGGGCAGUUUGACUGGGGCGGUCGCCUCCUAAAAGGUAACGGAGGCGCUCAAAGGUUCCCUCAGAAUGGUUGGAAAUCAUUCAUAGAGUGUAAAGGCAUAAGGGAGCUUGACUGCGAGACCUACAAGUCGAGCAGGGUCGAAAGACGGACUUAGUGAUCCGGUGGUUCCGCAUGGAAGGGCCAUCGCUCAACGGAUAAAAGCUACCCCGGGGAUAACAGGCUUAUCUCCCCCAAGAGUUCACAUCGACGGGGAGGUUUGGCACCUCGAUGUCGGCUCAUCGCAUCCUGGGGCUGUAGUCGGUCCCAAGGGUUGGGCUGUUCGCCCAUUAAAGCGGUACGCGAGCUGGGUUCAGAACGUCGUGAGACAGUUCGGUCCCUAUCCGUCGUGGGCGUAGGAAAUUUGAGAGGAGCUGUCCUUAGUACGAGAGGACCGGGAUGGACAUACCUCUGGUGUACCAGUUGUCGUGCCAACGGCAUAGCUGGGUAGCUAUGUGUGGACGGGAUAAGUGCUGAAAGCAUCUAAGCAUGAAGCCCCCCUCAAGAUGAGAUUUCCCAACUUCGGUUAUAAGAUCCCUCAAAGAUGAUGAGGUUAAUAGGUUCGAGGUGGAAGCAUGGUGACAUGUGGAGCUGACGAAUACUAAUCGAUCGAAGACUUAAUCA
This 1615-nucleotide ribosomal RNA is filed under the name Staphylococcus aureus subsp. aureus SA5211. RNAcentral describes it as "partial 23S ribosomal RNA". It matches the Rfam family "Bacterial large subunit ribosomal RNA", at positions 1310 to 2925 of the family's 2925-position model. Lineage: Bacteria; Bacillati; Bacillota; Bacilli; Caryophanales; Staphylococcaceae. The record is from RNAcentral.